This 3231-nucleotide ribosomal RNA is filed under the name Yarrowia lipolytica. Its description in RNAcentral is "26S ribosomal RNA". It matches the Rfam family "Eukaryotic large subunit ribosomal RNA". The record is from RNAcentral. Lineage: Eukaryota; Fungi; Ascomycota; Dipodascomycetes; Dipodascales.
ACUAUCAACAACGGAUCUCUUGGCUCUCACGGCAUCGAUGAAGAACGCAGCGAACCGCGAUUUUUGUGACUUGCAGAUGUGAAUCAUCAAUCUUGAACGCACAUUGCGCGGUAUGGCAUUCCGUACCGCGGAUGGAAGGAGCGUGUUCCCUCUGGGAUCGCAUUGCUUUCUUGAAAUGGAUUUUUAAACUCUCAAUUAUUACGUCAUUUCACCUCUUCAUCCGAGAUUGCCAGCGAACUUAAACAUAUCAAUAAGCGGAGAAAGAAACCAACAGGGAUUGCCUCGGUAACGGCGAGUGAAGCGGCAAAGCUCAAAUUUGAAACCCUCGGGAUUAUGGUGAAGAUUUGGCGUGGAGAAGCUAACCAAGUUGCUUGGAAUAGUACGUCAUAGAGAUUUGACAACCCCGUCUGGCUAACCGUUCUCCAUGGUGCCUUAUCAAGAGUCGAGUUGUUUGGGAAUGCAGCUCAAAGUGGGUGGUAAACUCAUCUAAGCUAAAUACUGGUGAGAGACCGUGUGAACAAGUACUGAAGGAAAGGUGAAAGAACUUUGAAAGAGGAGUGAAAUGGUAUGUGAAAUUGUUGAUGGGGAAGGAAGUGGAGAGUGGCCGAGGUUUCAGCCGCCCUCGUGGGCGGUGUACUGCCGACGCCGAGUGCAUCGAUGUGGACGAGGGUUACAAAUGGGGCGCCUUCGGGGCGUUCUCCCCUAACCCUCACACUGCCACCGACGACAUAAUCCCACCCAUUUCACCCGUCUUGAAACACGGACCAAGGAGUCUAAUGGAUAUGUGAGUGUUAGGGUGGCAAACCCCAGCGCAAUGAGAAAUUGAAUGGAUUCGUUCAGAAUCGACCGAACUUGAUUAUUAUGACAGUUUGAGUAAACACAUCCAUUGGGACCGAAAGAUGGUGAACUAUGCCUGGAUAGGGUGAGUGGAAACUCUGAUGGAGGCUCGUAGCGGUUCUGACGUGCCGUCGAUCGUAGGAUCUGGGUAUAGGGCGAAAGACUAAUCGAACCAUCUAGUAGCUGGUUCCUGCCGAAGUUCCCUCAGGAUAGCGAAGCUAUCCAGUUUGUAAUUAAAGCGAAGAUGAUUAGGCUGAAGUAUUGGGGCAGAAAUGCCCUCAGCAUUACUCAAACUUUAAAUAUGUAAGAAGCCUUGGUUGCUGAAAUCGAACCGUGGCUACGAAUGAAGGCUUCUAGUGGGCCAUUUUGGUAAGCAGAACUGGCGAUGCGGGAUGAACCGAACGUGGAGUUAAGGUGCCGGAAUACACUCAUCAGACACCACAAAGGUGUUAGUUUAUCUGAGCAGCCGGACGGUGGCCUGCUGGAAGUCGGAAUCCGCUAAAGAAUUAAUGUCACAACUCACCGGCCGAAUAGACUAGCCCCCUGAAAAUGGAUGGCGUAAGCGUGUUACCUAUACUCUACCGAGGUUUCCUCUCUGCGGUAGGCAGGCAUUAAGGGGUUGUUGAAGCGUUGGCCGUGAGGCUGCGUCGAACGGCCUGGUGGAUCUUGGUGGUAGUAGCAAAUAUUCAAAUGAGAACUUUGAAGAGACUGAAGUGCAGGGAAAGGUUCCGUGUGAACAGCAGUUGGACAUACAGGUAAGUCGAUCCUAAGGGUGGCAUAGCUUUGUCGCGCGUACGGCCCGAUAAGGACCUUCUCCAAGGGAAGCCGGUUGAAAUUCCGGCACUUGGAUGUGGAUUCUCCACGGCAACGUAACUGAAUGUGGGGACGGUGGCACAAGUCUUGGAAGGAGUUAUCUUUUCUUUUAACGGAGUCAACACACCCUGGAAUUAGUUUGUCUAGAGAUGGGGUAUCGUUCCGGAAGGGGGCAGCUUUGUCCCCUCCGAUGCCUGUGACGCCCCUUGAAAACCCGCAGGAAGGAAUAGUUUUCACGCCAAGUCGUACUGAUAACCGCAGCAGGUCUCCAAGGUAGACGACCUCUAGUUGAUAGAAUAAUGUGAAUGGGGAAGUCGGCAAAAUAGAUCCGUAACUUCGGGAUAAAAGAUUGGCUCUGGGGGUUGGUGGAUGGAAGCGUGGGGAGACCCCAAGGGACUGGCGGCUGGAGCAACUGGCAGCCGGACCCCGCGGCGGGUACUGCGUCGCUCCCGUCCAUCAUCAACUCACCAGAACUGGUACGGACAAGGGGAAUCUGACAUCUAAUUAAAACAUGGCUUUGCGAUGGUUGUAAAACAAUGUUGACGCAAAGUGAUUUCUGCUUAGUGCUCUGAAUGUCCAAAGUGAAGAGAAAUUCAACCAGAAAGCGCGGGUAAACGGCGGGAGUAACCUUGACUCUCUUAAAGGGUAGCCAAAUGCCUCGUCAUCUAAUUAGUGACGCGUGAAUGGAUUAACAGAUUCCCUGUCCCUAUCUGCUAUCUAUGACCACAGCCAAGGGGAACGGGCUUGGCAGAAUCAGCGGGGAAAAGAAGACCCUGUUGAGCUUGACUCUGGUUGACAUUGUGAAGAGACAUAGGUGUAGAAUAAGUGGGAGCUUCGGCGCCGGUGAAAUACCACUACCCUUAUCGUUUCUUUACUUAUUUAGUAAGAGAUGGAAGUGGUUUAACAACCAUUUCUAGCAUUCCUUUCCAGGCUGAAGACAUUGUCAGGUGGGGAGUUUGGCUGGGGCGGCACACAUCUGUUAAAAGAUAACGCGAAUGUCUAAGGGGGACUCAAUGAGAACAGGAAAUCUCAUGGGAACAAAGGGUAAAGUCCCCUUGAUUUUGAUUUUCAGGUGAAUACAAACCAUGAAGAGGUGUGGCCUAUCCCGAUCCUUUAGUUGUUCGGGUUUGAACCUAGAGGUGCCAGAAAAGUUACCACAAGGGACCAACUGGCUUGUGGCAGUCAAGCGUUCAUAGCGACAUUGCUUUUGAUCCUUCGAUGUCGGCUCUUCCUAUCAUACCGAAGCAGAAUUCGGUAAGCGUUGGAUUGUUCACCCACUAAUAGGGGCAAUGAGCUGGGUUUGAACCGUCGUGAGACGGAGUUAGUUUUACCUACUGAUGGACUUGUUGCAGUAAUUGAACUGGUACAGAGGAACAGUUCAUUCGGAUAGUGGUGUUUGCUGCUGUCUGAUCAGGCAAUGCAUGAAGCUGCUUAUCCGCUGGAUUAUGGCUGAACGCCUCUGGUCAGAACCCAUGCUGAAGUGAUGAUUGGGGGUGGAUGGAUAUGAAUAAGUAUCGCAGUACCGGAGGUUGGGUGGAUAAAAUUGUCUGCUCUUCCUGAUUGCUUAGAUUGCCAACGAAA